GCGAAAGCGGCUCUCUGGUCUGUCACUGACGCUGAGGCUCGAAAGCGUGGGUAGCGAACAGGAUUAGAUACCCUGGUAGUCCACGCCGUAAACGAUGAGUGCUAGGUGUUAGGCCCUUUCCGGGGCUUAGUGCCGGAGCUAACGCAAUAAGCACUCCGCCUGGGGAGUACGACCGCAAGGUUGAAACUCAAAGGAAUUGACGGGGGCCCGCACAAGCGGUGGAGCAUGUGGUUUAAUUCGAAGCAACGCGAAGAACCUUACCAGGUCUUGACAUCCCGAUGCUAUUCUUAGAGAUAGGAAGUUACUUCGGUACAUCGGAGACAGGUGGUGCAUGGUUGUCGUCAGCUCGUGUCGUGAGAUGUUGGGUUAAGUCCCGCAACGAGCGCAACCCUUAUUGUUAGUUGCCAUCAUUAAGUUGGGCACUCUAGCGAAACUGCCGGUAAUAAACCGGAGGAAGGUGGGGAUGACGUCAAAUCAUCAUGCCCCUUAUGACCUGGGCUACACACGUGCUACAAUGGUCGGUACAACGAGUUGCGAGCCGGUGACGGCAAGCUAAUCUCUGAAAGCCGAUCUCAGUUCGGAUUGGAGGCUGCAACUCGCCUCCAUGAAGUCGGAAUCGCUAGUAAUCGCGGAUCAGCACGCCGCGGUGAAUACGUUCCCGGGCCUUGUACACACCGCCCGUCACACCACGAGAGUUUGUAACACCCGAAGUCGGUGAGGUAACCUUUAGGGGCCAGCCGCCUAAGGUGGGAGGAGGUG
This 759-nucleotide ribosomal RNA is filed under the name Streptococcus mutans. RNAcentral describes it as "bacterial SSU rRNA". It matches the Rfam family "Bacterial small subunit ribosomal RNA", at positions 715 to 1473 of the family's 1533-position model. The record is from RNAcentral. Lineage: Bacteria; Bacillati; Bacillota; Bacilli; Lactobacillales; Streptococcaceae.